UACGAAGGGGGCUAGCGUUGCUCGGAAUCACUGGGCGUAAAGGGUGCGUAGGCGGGUUCUUAAGUCAGAGGUGAAAUCCUGGAGCUCAACUCCAGAACUGCCUUUGAUACUGAGAGUCUUGAGUACGGGAGAGGUGAGUGGAACUGCGAGUGUAGAGGUGAAAUUCGUAGAUAUUCGCAAGAACACCAGUGGCGAAGGCGGCUCACUGGCCCGUUACUGACGCUGAGGCGCGAAAGCUAGGGUAGCAAACGGG
Molecule: ribosomal RNA, 253 nt
Filed under: uncultured bacterium
Lineage: Bacteria
Description: partial 16S ribosomal RNA
Rfam family: Bacterial small subunit ribosomal RNA
Source: RNAcentral